Molecule: non-coding RNA, 715 nt
Organism: Lagopus muta (rock ptarmigan)
Lineage: Eukaryota; Metazoa; Chordata; Aves; Galliformes; Phasianidae
Source: the annotation of a RefSeq genome assembly
UUCUGCCUCUUGCUCACUCACAAACAGGAGGCUCGGUCUCAGCAUGCACCGCAGCUCUCUCGUCCUCACUGCCUUCCUGGGACAACUGCUGGGUGCCGUGGGGCAGACCAUUGUCAGCCAGCAAGAAGGACAGGUCACGGUGCAGGAGAGAAACACCUUCCAGACCACCUGCACGUACCAGGCCUCCAGCUUUGAUGCUUUUCUUUGGUACCAGCAGAAGAAAGGCCAAGCUCCCCAGCUGGUCACAUAUCAGGCAGCAGCAGGCUCCAAGCAGAACGGCCGUUUCACCACGUGGCUGAACACCACCGGGAAAUACAGCCUGCUGCGGCUGGCAGAAGUCGAGCUGUCUGACAGCGCCUUGUACCUCUGUGCUGUGCAGGACACCCUGGUGCAGGGAGCUUCCUUGGCCGUGCAACAACCCCAGGGAGGGAGGAGUGGCUGUGAGCAGAGCCCAGGUGCAACAGGAGCCGGCGGCAGAGACCAGAGAGGGCAUCAGCAUCAACAUCACCUGCUCACACCCCAGCAUACAGUCCAGCGAGAUCAUUUACUGGUACCGUCAGCUCCCGGGCCGAGGACCCGCAUUCCUCGUGAACGCUUUUAAAGGCUCCAAGGAGGUGCCGGACCCGGAGGGGCAGCUGUGGGUGUCGGCAGACCGCCGCUCCAGCGCCCUGCGUCUCGCCCGGCCCCGGCUCGGGGACGCGGCGCUGUAUUACUG